RNAcentral lists this ribosomal RNA (333 nucleotides) under Triticum aestivum (bread wheat). RNAcentral describes it as "partial small subunit ribosomal RNA". Lineage: Eukaryota; Viridiplantae; Streptophyta; Magnoliopsida; Poales; Poaceae. The record is from RNAcentral.
AUGGUACUCCUCGAAGAGUGUCAGGACGCGCGUGGCCGCAGCUUCAUCUCUGGCGGUGGCAUCCUCCUUGGCCUCCCACCAUGCCUUCUCCGCCUCCCGGUGAUGCUUGAGCGCGGGGGAGAAGAUGUAGUCGAGGCGGUUGAAGUUCUCUCACGCUCGAGUGCCGACGCUACGGGAGCGGGCAUCGCGGAGAAAACCGUAGGGAACCGCUACCGGCUACCGGCUCGCGGCAGGAACAACACCGACCCGUCGUCCCCUUCUAUCCCUCCCCCACCGCCGGCCGCCGCCCGCUCGUCACCGGUUUAUGUUUUGGCAUGCUGCGGGACAGAUUAA